UGAGGGGCCCCUGUGAUGGGAGCCUUGCGAACCUGGUCAGGGUGGAAACGCAGCAGCCAUUAGCCCGUGCUUUUAGGUGCGGGGGCCUCUCACUC
This 95-nucleotide signal recognition particle RNA is filed under the name Pseudobythopirellula maris. RNAcentral describes it as "Bacterial small signal recognition particle RNA". It matches the Rfam family "Bacterial small signal recognition particle RNA". Rfam says of the family: The signal recognition particle (SRP) is a universally conserved ribonucleoprotein involved in the co-translational targeting of proteins to membranes. Archaeal SRP consists of a 7S RNA and homologues of the eukaryotic SRP19 and SRP54 proteins. The record is from Rfam by way of RNAcentral. Lineage: Bacteria; Pseudomonadati; Planctomycetota; Planctomycetia; Pirellulales; Lacipirellulaceae.